CAAACCUGGGUUAAUUUCUUGUUCCCACCAACUCCCUCCCCACAACCAUCCCAUCAGCUAGGAUAAACUCCUGGUCUGAGCCCACACACUCCGGCUCCUGCUCCCUGAUGUGGGCCCAUAUCUGAACCCCACUGCAGCUGGGUAGCUGAGUCUUAGCUGUCGCUUGGUCACCUCUAGGCUCCCUGUAGUCCUGUGCCCCCAACUCCCUGCCCACUAGUGUCUGCUCCCAUUGUCUCUUGUUAGAACUGCUUUGUUUAAAAAUCUUUAAAGUUUAAAAAGCGUAAAGGCAAGAGUUCAAUUUGUUUUGAGAAAAA
RNAcentral lists this long non-coding RNA (314 nucleotides) under Bos taurus (domestic cattle). RNAcentral describes it as "long non-coding RNA NONBTAT021979". The record is from RNAcentral. Lineage: Eukaryota; Metazoa; Chordata; Mammalia; Artiodactyla; Bovidae.